UAUCCAUGAUCACUUGGUAAUUUGAGAUUUAGAAAGGCUCUUCUUCGCUGGGAAGAGGACGAUGAGAUCUUGUGAUGAAGAAAUUUUCAUAGAUAAACCCAGCGAGUCCACCACCAAUAAGGGGUCCAACCCAGUAAACCCAGUGGUCUGUCCAGUCCCAGCUAACCAAAGCAGGUCCAAAUGAUCGUGCUGGGUUCAUUGAUGCUCCAGAGAAUGCCCCACCAGCCAAGAUGUUGGCUCCAACUACAAAGCCAGUCAGCAUUGGACCUAGCCCAUCAAUGGAUCCCUUCUUGGGGUCGACAAUGGUGGCAUAGACUGUGAACAGCAAGGAGAAAGUCAGUACGAUCUCCCAUACUACUCCUUGAAG
This 367-nucleotide long non-coding RNA is filed under the name Populus trichocarpa (black cottonwood). RNAcentral describes it as "long non-coding RNA (PTRI_LNC001870)". The record is from RNAcentral. Lineage: Eukaryota; Viridiplantae; Streptophyta; Magnoliopsida; Malpighiales; Salicaceae.